RNAcentral lists this unclassified non-coding RNA (387 nucleotides) under Hevea brasiliensis (rubber tree). The record is from RNAcentral. Lineage: Eukaryota; Viridiplantae; Streptophyta; Magnoliopsida; Malpighiales; Euphorbiaceae.
GUAUUCAUCAUCAUGCUUCUGAAAGUGGCACCUGCGUUUGCGUUAUUGAACACCCAUGAGGAAAAUUUGAGUUCCGUGAUAUCAUUUUCUUCACAUGGAUCUGCUUUGAAGAAUUUUUCGGCAAAAAACGGAAAUGGAUUGGUUGUAUGUGCUUCAAAGGGUUCGAACAGUAAACCGUUGACGGGUGUUGUUUUCGAACCUUUUGAAGAGGUGAAGAAAGAGCUUAUGCUUGUACCUACUGUUCCUCAAGCUUCUCUUGCUAGACAGAAGUUUACUGAUCAAUCUGAAGCUGCUCUUAAUGAACAGAUCAAUGUCGAAUACAAUGUUUCGUAUGUUUACCAUGCUAUGUAUGCCUAUUUCGACAGAGACAAUGUUGCUCUCAAGGGA